RNAcentral lists this ribosomal RNA (442 nucleotides) under uncultured bacterium. RNAcentral describes it as "partial 16S ribosomal RNA". It matches the Rfam family "Bacterial small subunit ribosomal RNA", at positions 338 to 795 of the family's 1533-position model. The record is from RNAcentral.
CCUACGGGGGGCAGCAGUGGGGAAUAUUGGGCAAUGGACGCAAGUCUGACCCAGCAACGCCGCGUGAAGGAAGAAGGCUUUCGGGUUGUAAACUUCUUUUAAGGGGGAAGAGCAGAAGACGGUACCCCUUGAAUAAGCCACGGCUAACUACGUGCCAGCAGCCGCGGGAAUACGUAGGUGGCAAGCGUUGUCCGGAUUUACUGGGUGUAAAGGGCGUGCAGCCGGAGAGGCAAGUCAGAUGUGAACUCCGCGGGCUCAACUCGCGAACUGCAUUUGAAACUGCUUCCCUUGAGUAUCGGAGAGGUAAUCGGAAUUCCUAGUGUAGCGGUGAAAUGCGUAGAUAUUAGGAAGAACACCAGUGGCGAAGGCGGAUUACUGGACGACAACUGACGGUGAGGCGCGAAAGCGUGGGGAGCAAACAGGAUUAGAUACCCCUGUAGUC